CUUUUCAAUACUCUCUUACUAUCUCUCCAGUUUUCCCUCUUCUAUCUAUAUCCCUCUCAUUAACUUUUCUUUGAAUCUUGCAGAUCUAGGGUUAAAAGUGGAUACAAAGAGAAAAUGAGAGUGACAAAGACAAAUCGUGAAAUUGAAACCCGAGAUCGGACGAAAUGGAGUAGAAAGGAAGAAAAAUUGUUGAGGACACAGAGAGAUCUGUUGGGACAAAUACAGCAAAGCAAUGGUGGUGAUGAUGUAACAGAGAGAUGCAUCAUUUAGUGUCAUCUUCAAAAUCGUUAGGUUAUUUUUUAUAUACGGUUUCUCUUUCUCACUCUUUCCACAAAUAUUUUGUUUUCUCUCUACCCCUUUCUCUUUUCCCUUCAAUAAGCUUAUUCCAUCUUCGUUAGCGUUCGAGAUUAUUUGAGGUAAGUCGUUUUCGUUCUGUGUUUCCGUUCACUUUUCGUUCAAUAUUAUCGUUUUGAUGUAUGGUUUUCAUCCUCAAAGCAAACAGAUCUACGGACAAAGAGGGAAAAAGAGAGUUAUCGAUAAUGUCGAAACGAGAAACAUACGGUGUCUUCACGGGCACAUAUGGUUCCUUCACAGCUUCGACGAUGAAUGGGACCGAGUACUUAACUUUUCCAUGGUUGAUGGCGACUUUAUGAAGUUUGAGGGAAAAUGGUCAGUAAAAUCUGUAACAAGUUGUUGAAUGUCAAACAAAGCAUAUCAUGUCCUAGCUUUGAAGCAGACCUUAUAGAGCCGGCCUACAGCCACCUAAAAUGAUGAGCAUCACAUCACCAACCACUAAGUACAUUUGAAAUUGUGUAGGAGAUAAGACUUCUGUUAUAGGUUUGCAGACAUAUCUCAUUAAAAUUGUGUUUUUAAAUAGCAUGCUUCUCUAAAGUUCAUGUCUACUUCAUUAUGACAUUGUACCUACUGGAUAAAGUUUACACUCUAUCUACUGCUAACAAUACACCAUAGAAUAGGAACCUACUGUCUAUCAACAUUUUGUACCUGCUGAAUAAUAACCUGAUGUCCAAGCCUAUUAUCACUUUUGUCCAAGCCUUACUAACAUUAGUGAACUUGACGAUUGUUGGUUUAUGUCCUGCCCCAUAUAUGUUUUUUAGGAGGCAACUAUUUAGAUCUCACUAAUUUAACAUUAAAAAUUCUUCCUUUAGUCGUCUCCUUUGGCAUCUUGUAUCUACUGUCCAUACUAUAUUGCCUUGCAUAAUUUUCAUUUCAUGACCAGGUUUUGUUAAGUGACCGAGUUUUUUAGGUAAGUGACUGAGUACAAGGAAUGAGAACAUUUGGGUGUUGUCCUAAUCAACCAAUUCUUUGGUGUUGUUCACAAGGAAUGAGAACAUUUUACCUAAUUUGUUCUUCAUAGCAUGUUUGAUAUUUAUGUGUUGUUGCAGUCUGUGUUACAGUGCCUUCCACUCAUCAGUCAUUGCAAAUAACAUAAAGUGUGUCAUGGUACUGUUUUUAAUGAAAGAGUAAAUAUGUCAUGUUCUUUACUCUCUUUUUCUUCAUUUAUGUUGUGAAAAAUAAUUAUGAGUAUACUAUAAGUUAGAUUGUUUUGAUGAUAUACUUACAGCUCAGCCUAAGUUAGUUUCUCAAAUAGUUGGAAAAGCUCAAGGUGUUUAUGUGGCAUGUUCAGCAGAUGGGAGUAGACAGAUGAUGGUAUCCACAAAUUUGUUUGAAGGAGAAAAAUAUGAAGAUAGCUUGAACUUUUAUGGUUUGUAUAAGAUAGGAAGCAGAAUGUCGCGAUUAUCGGUAAUAGGAGGCACGGGAAAGUUCAAGAAUGCAAGGGAGUUUGCUGAGCUGAGACCUCUUAUUCCACCAGGAAAGAUUGCAACUGAUGGUGCUGAGACAUUGUUGAGGAUGAGUGUUCAUUUGAGCUACUAGAACUUGUCAAAUAUGUUUAACCUUCUUUGUGUUGUUCUAGCUGAAUUCCUAAAACACAUAACUAUUUGAUAACUUUUGCAUUUACCUAUUGAUUGGUAACUACUUUUGAAAGGUAUAUAUUUAAUUUCAUGGAAAUACAAAGCAUGCAUGGUUUUCUGUUUUAGUGAUAAUUUAUAUCAGUAUAUUAUUCUUGAAAUUUAUGUGACAGUUUUCUAUAGCAUCCCUUGCAAAUAAAAUAUCAUGUUAGUAUACAUAGGGACUACUUUGAGAUGAAUUGGAAAUUUUCUAUUAUGCAGCCAAUUAGUUGGUUUAAGUGUAUAGUGAUUGUAAUUUUGUGCAUUCUCAUCUGGUAUAUUGUUUGAGUCAUUAUUUAUGGAGUAUAGUGAAUUGUAAUUUUGUUUAAGUGUAUAGUGCAUUCUUAUAUGUGUAACUUGGUUUAAGUGUACACUGUAUAGUGAAUUGUGAGAUGCUGAGUUUGUGAUACUAAGAGGAUUUUUUAUUCUUACAGAUGCCAAGAGGUUGAUUGGUCAGAGUCUCUGAUGCACCUGUUCAGAGUGACAGAGGAUGCUUAGGUAAAUUCAAGCAUGAUCUUAUAGUUGAUUAUGAGUUGGAGCUAAAUUAUGGAAGGUUUGUCAUUAAUAUUUAUUUGUUCUAACUUCUAAAUAGGAUGCCAUGGAUUGUAACUGUAUAUCUCAAUCUAUUAUUUGUUCACUAUUAAUGGCUAUAUGUAUUCGACCGGUGUUGUCAUUCCCGUUUUUGAAACAAUAUGGUGCCAUUUCUUCAUAUCAAACAGAAUUGGGAUGUCCGCGUGGAAGAAUCAAGCAAAAAACCAGAUUAUUUAGCAAUUAAUUUUUUUUAUCAAGGUGGCCAAACAAAGAUAGUAGUUGUUGAUGUAGCUCAUGUGUGUUAAAUAAAUUCAUCAAAAAAUAAUAAGCAACCAUUGUUUUUGUGGCUUAUUCAUUUACUAAUAGGUUGGAUCUUCAUAGUGGAAUUAUUUAAGUUGAAAUCAUGGUGCAGUGGGGGACACAUGUGAAGAUACAAGGGACAUUACAAUUAAGGUUUGUGGUUACAUCAGGUAUGCUGGAAAAUGGAUUUGGGCCAAGAUGGUUCUACCAAUUGGAAAAAUGGGAUGAUAUAUGAUUCUGAUGUUCAGCGUACAAAAAUUGUACAAGAGGGUUGUUCAAUUUAACAUGUGAUGAUGAAACAUGUAAAACGUGUUGUCGCAUUUGUAACUAUUCAACUCCAUAGCACUAUGUACUCUUAUUUUAC
Long non-coding RNA from Vicia villosa (hairy vetch), 3162 nucleotides. RefSeq lists it as uncharacterized. The record is from RefSeq and is a predicted model, not a curated record. The transcript has 3 exons. Lineage: Eukaryota; Viridiplantae; Streptophyta; Magnoliopsida; Fabales; Fabaceae.